Molecule: long non-coding RNA, 286 nt
Filed under: Mustela putorius furo (domestic ferret)
Lineage: Eukaryota; Metazoa; Chordata; Mammalia; Carnivora; Mustelidae
Description: lncRNA (ENSMPUG00000029438.1)
Source: RNAcentral
CUGCUCCCUGAUUUGGCGUUCCAAUAAGCAGAGGAAGGCUGUGUCUACACAGUGUUGAUUUCUCUGUUUUAUGCUGGGGAAAACAGAACUUUGGCCCACUAUCCAGGCAGCAGGAGGUAUCUGGAAGAGAGGAAGAGGAGGACCACAAUGGAGUGUGAUUCAGCUUCUUGAUGCUGAAUCCUGUAAAAGAGAAGGAGACCCACCCCGAGCCAUGGGAGCACUGCCAACCUGGGUCUGCCUUGGGAGCUAUGAAAGCCUUUCAGGAGGACAUGAUGUCUGAACUAAG